UACUUAUACAGAACAUUUGCUGUUGGUUACUGUAAACCUCUGAGUAUGGAAAUAAUGCAGUUCGUGCCAAAAAUGAAAGUGUCAAAGGAGCGACUUAUGGUCUGGAAGCCAUUCAAAAAUAUCGAAGAGAUAGAUUCUUCAAUGGUGUGAAAGAGGUAUAACCUCACAAGAUGUUUCUCAGGAUCUGGGGUCAGGCGAGGGAUUGAUGUGUCCCUAGAAAAAAAUGUCCAUACCAAGCAUGGCAGACCAAUGGCAAUGACCAGUCUCUCUGCCUGGCAGUUGCUUCAUUCAUGGCAGAUGGAAGGUGAGAGACUAGAAGGAGGUAAUUUCUCCUUGGUCAUUCUCACUUCUGGGAAGGGCUUCACAUCAAAACAUUCUCUCAGCAGGUUUCACGGUGGAUCACCCUGGUUUAUGUUCUUCUUCUUACUUUUGACUGUUGGGCAUAUGGAGGAGUACCUUAAAGACCUUCAGUACAGAACCCCACCUAGCCGACAAAACUCAUGGAAUAGAUGUACUCCUGAAACUGUUAUAGCAGUUUAAUAACUCAGUUGACAGAAAACCCACAGGACAGACAAAAGGAAGUUUUGCAACUGACCAGUUUAGUUGCCUUAUAUCAUGCUUACUCUUUGUAGCAUAGACUUAAAUUGUAUGGCAAGAAUGUAGUUGGAAUGAGUAGAAUUCGUGGAUUUUAGCAUUGCAGGAUUCUUUAUUUU
RNAcentral lists this long non-coding RNA (713 nucleotides) under Homo sapiens (human). RNAcentral's name for it is "non-protein coding lnc-ABCA5-13:1". The record is from RNAcentral. Lineage: Eukaryota; Metazoa; Chordata; Mammalia; Primates; Hominidae.